AGGACGAACGCUGGCGGCGCGCCUAACACAUGCAAGUCGAGCGAGAACCAGGGCUUGCCCUGGGGACAGCGGCGAACGGGUGCGUAACACGUGAGCAACCUGCCCCAAAGACCGGGACAACCCGAGGAAACUCGGACUAAUACCGGAUGCCCUCACCGGGCCGCAUGGUCUGGUGAGGAAAUGGAUUCCGCUUUGGGAUGGGCUCGCGGUCUAUCAGCUUGUUGGUGGGGUAACGCCUACCAAGGCGACGACGGAUAGCUGGUCUGAGAGGACGAUCAGCCACACUGGGACUAAGACACGGCCCAGACUCCUACGGGAGGCAGCAGUGGGGAAUCUUGCGCAAUGGGGGAAACCCUGACGCAGCGACGCCGCGUGCGGGAUGAAGGCCUUCGGGUUGUAAACCGCUUUCAGCAGGGACGAAAUUGACGGUACCUGCAGAAGAAGGCCGGCCAACUACGUGCCAGCAGCCGC
RNAcentral lists this ribosomal RNA (471 nucleotides) under uncultured bacterium. RNAcentral's name for it is "SSU rRNA". It matches the Rfam family "Bacterial small subunit ribosomal RNA", at positions 26 to 518 of the family's 1533-position model. The record is from RNAcentral.